CUUGGCUGGAAAGAGCCUCCUGAACCUUCCCUUCCCCCACUCUUGUCGUUUUAAUCAAUGGGAAAUCCUCCGCCGUGCUUCUUUUAAGGAGGGGCGGGCUUUUCUUUUCCCGUACUCAAGCCAGGCACUAACAAUUGGGAGCGCUUGCAGCGGAAAGCUCCUCCUUGCCGUGCUGAAGAACGCUGCUCAGGAUCUCAUCUGUCUGAUGAAAACAAGCAAACCCACCCGCAAGUCCUUCCGAGGGUCCCGAGGCGCGCGGCCACCUUAAAUCCCCGCAGCCUUGUCUUUCGCACCCAUUCCAGCUCUCGGCCAAUCAGCAAGUCGCCUCGUCUCGCUUGAAUGACUCUUGUUCUUUGUUUGCGGAGAGGGAGGAUCUCUCCAAUCUGAUAAAGGGGAGGCCCAGCUGUUGGAGGCUUCUCAGCCAAUCGGCGGGCAAGCCUGUCUGGGUGUGCUUGUUCAAGAAAUGCCUGUCUGUGCUGGGGGAUGCCCUUAUGAGCGGGACUGAAAUCUCCCGCUCCUUGCUUAUUUAUACUGGUCUUUCAAACUCAACUCAUCCAAGGAGCUAUUAGGCUGUCUGUCUGUCUAGGGCAAUAAUGUUUGAACAGGCCUUCCAAUCUGUGACCGUUUAAACAAGGACCAUUUCGAGGAAAGGCGUAUGAUUGAUAUUUCAAAUAUGUCUCUUAAAAGAGGCCACACCGUCAGGUUACAAAAGUAAUAUGGGUCGAACUCGGGUCUCCUUGAUAGCUGCUCUCCCCACGGUGACCUUCUGCUCCUCCACUGAAUUCCCCACCACCACCACCGGUUGGAACCAAAAGCGGGAAAACGCGCGCGCUCUUUCUCUCUUUCAAAGAAGGCCUGAAGCAAUUCUCUGGACCAUGCAAAGACCUACUUCCUGCGUACAUCUCUUCAGCAUGGCAGACAGAACAAAGUUGGAGGCUGUUGACAAGGAGGUAAGAACUGCAGGAAACAGAGCCCAGCAGUCACCAGUGCUUGGGGGCCAUGGGUCACGCUCCACACCACAGACAGAUAACGAGAAAGCACAAGCACAAGCAUGUAAGCAAGCAUGCACCCACAUACAUUCUUUGCUUUUCCAUGGAGUCUGGAUAAAAGUCAGAUCCAACAGAA
Rhineura floridana is the source of this 1125-nucleotide long non-coding RNA. RefSeq lists it as uncharacterized. NCBI's taxonomy places the organism in Eukaryota, Metazoa, Chordata, Lepidosauria, Squamata, Rhineuridae. The record is from RefSeq and is a predicted model, not a curated record. The transcript is spliced from 3 exons.